Long non-coding RNA from Acanthopagrus latus (yellowfin seabream), 406 nucleotides. RefSeq lists it as uncharacterized. The transcript is spliced from 4 exons. NCBI's taxonomy places the organism in Eukaryota, Metazoa, Chordata, Actinopteri, Spariformes, Sparidae. The record is from RefSeq and is a predicted model, not a curated record.
CACCGGUGGGAGGCAUCCAUACAACAGCAUAAGGUGAUUGUCUCGAAGUCUAUUGUAGCUCGGUGAAGUGCUUACUGGCAGUCGCCGCAGUUGGACUCCAACAGUACAGAAUGUUGUAGGUGGUCUGCAUGGCAUGGCAUGGAAUGGAAAGAAAAGAGCAGGAAUGUACGAAAGCAAGCAUGGUCUCCUUUGAAAUCGAGAGGACGUGGAACAAACUCCGCAGUCCCACAUUUCUCUCAUUUCUGCGGACAGGCAGAACAAUAAGAGAGCCGAGAUAGCGUUUGGGCGCACGUGCAAAUUGAGCAGGCAACCCUUGAAACGAUUACGGGGAAAUUAAUCAGACCCCACUGACAUUGACAGCAUGCUCCUUGUAAUACAAGGACUGUUGUUUAAUGUGCCAUAACCG